This 500-nucleotide ribosomal RNA is filed under the name uncultured bacterium. RNAcentral describes it as "partial 16S ribosomal RNA". It matches the Rfam family "Bacterial small subunit ribosomal RNA", at positions 30 to 523 of the family's 1533-position model. The record is from RNAcentral.
AUUGAACGCUGGCGGAAUGCUUUACACAUGCAAGUCGAACGGCAGCACGGACUUCGGUCUGGUGGCGAGUGGCGAACGGGUGAGUAAUACAUCGGAACGUGCCCAGUCGUGGGGGAUAACGUAGCGAAAGCUACGCUAAUACCGCAUACGAUCUACGGAUGAAAGCGGGGGAUCGCAAGACCUCGCGCGAUUGGAGCGGCCGAUGGCAGAUUAGGUAGUUGGUAGGGUAAAGGCCUACCAAGCCGACGAUCUGUAGCUGGUCUGAGAGGAUGAUCAGCCACACUGGGACUGAGACACGGCCCAGACUCCUACGGGAGGCAGCAGUGGGGAAUUUUGGACAAUGGACGCAAGUCUGAUCCAGCCAUUCCGCGUGCAGGAUGAAGGCCCUCGGGUUGUAAACUGCUUUUGUACAGAACGAAAAGGCUCUGGUUAAUACCUGGGGCUCAUGACGGUACCUUGCGAGAAAGCCACGGCUAACUACGUGCCAGCAGCCGCAGUAA